This 468-nucleotide ribosomal RNA is filed under the name uncultured bacterium. Its description in RNAcentral is "bacterial SSU rRNA". It matches the Rfam family "Bacterial small subunit ribosomal RNA", at positions 8 to 524 of the family's 1533-position model. The record is from RNAcentral.
AGAGUUUGAUCAUGGCUCAGAACGAACGCUGGCGGCAGGCCUAACACAUGCAAGUCGAGCGCGCCUUCGGGUGAGCGGCGGACGGGUUAGUAACGCGUGGGAACGUGCCCUUCUCUACGGAAUAGCCUCUGGAAACGGAGAGUAAUACCGUAUACGCCCUUUGGGGGAAAGAUUUAUCGGAGAAGGAUCGGCCCGCGUUAGAUUAGGUAGUUGGUGGGGUAACGGCCUACCAAGCCUACGAUCUAUAGCUGGUUUUAGAGGAUGAUCAGCAACACUGGGACUGAGACACGGCCCAGACUCCUACGGGAGGCAGCAGUGGGGAAUCUUAGACAAUGGGGGCAACCCUGAUCUAGCCAUGCCGCGCGAGUGAUGAAGGCCUUAGGGUCGUAAAGCUCUUUCGCCUGUGAUGAUAAUGACAGUAGCAGGUAAAGAGACCCCGGCUAACUCCGUGCCAGCCGCCGCGGUAAU